ACGCCCAUUUUCAAAAAAAAGGCGCCGUGCUUUAGUUAAUAGCUCAAAACCACUUGUAAACUGGACUAUGUAUCAAUAGGCAUUAUUAAUCAGAAAGGACUGGACUCUAAGUGCGUUGCCGGAACUAAAUUUUGAUAUAAUAUGGCGGAAAGAGAAGAACUUUAGGUGAAAGCGUUUUUUACAACAUCAUUGAGCAUUACUAGAUUCACUCGUUUGGAAGAAGAAGCGAACAGGAAGAAUACAAUGAAACUGUUAGCUGUUUGUAUCGCGAUGCUAUUUGUGUCGGCUUCACAGGCAUGCUUCGAUAUUUUACGGAACCGAUGUGAAACAGACGCAUUAACAAUGUGCAAGGUCACACCAGAGCUGUGCCAGAAAACAUGCGGUUUAUGUGUUUGUCGUGAUUCACAACCAGAGUUCUGCUUACGCAUGUUGGCCUCUCAACCAGAUGGAUUUUGUCGUUCACUUGAAAGCGCUUUGUAUUGCAAGAACACCUGCGAAUACUGUUAAUCAUAACAGAGAUGACGCCUCAUCAUAAAGUAUUUACUCUUGUGUGUAGAAUUGUUGUAUUUUUUUGUUGUUAUUAUGAAUGAAAGUAUGUGUAAAAA
Long non-coding RNA from Hydractinia symbiolongicarpus, 605 nucleotides. RefSeq lists it as uncharacterized. The transcript has 5 exons. The record is from RefSeq and is a predicted model, not a curated record. Lineage: Eukaryota; Metazoa; Cnidaria; Hydrozoa; Anthoathecata; Hydractiniidae.